This 95-nucleotide ribosomal RNA is filed under the name Bacillus subtilis. Lineage: Bacteria; Bacillati; Bacillota; Bacilli; Caryophanales; Bacillaceae. The record is from RNAcentral. RNAcentral also lists the same sequence under 1 other name.
GUCACACCCGUUCCCAUACCGAACACGGAAGUUAAGCUCUUCAGCGCCGAUGGUAGUCGGGGGUUUCCCCCUGUGAGAGUAGGACGCCGCCAAGC